RNAcentral lists this ribosomal RNA (471 nucleotides) under Triticum aestivum (bread wheat). Its description in RNAcentral is "partial small subunit ribosomal RNA". Lineage: Eukaryota; Viridiplantae; Streptophyta; Magnoliopsida; Poales; Poaceae. The record is from RNAcentral.
AUGGAGUAUGAUCAGAAAAAGUAUUUUAUACGGAUGUUUGUUGGAUUGAAGCCUCUUUGCGAUGGAUUCUUGGCUGGAUGCAGACCUUACUUGGCGAUAGACAGCACUCAUUUGACAGGCAAGUAUAGAGGCCAGUUAGCUACUGCUUGUGCUAUUGAUGGGCACAAUUGGCUAUACCCUGUAGCAUAUGGAGUUAUUAAUGCGGAAACUACUGAAAGUUGGGUGUGGUUUAUGGAGAAGCUUCGUGAGGCUAUUGGCUCUCCCCCUGGCCUAGCCAUAUGUUCAGAUGCAGGUAAAGGGAUUGACACUGCAAUUGAAAAGGUGUUUGAGUAUGCAGAACAUAGGGAAUGCAUGCGACACUUGGUUGUGAACUUCAAAAAAAGUUUCAUGGCAAAGUUUUUGAUGAUCAUUUGUGGCCAGCUGCUUAUUCAUGGACUCCUCGCGCUUUUGACUAUCACAUGGCAGCCAUAG